GAGACAGAUGGAGCGCUCCCCUUAUCCGGGGCCAACCCUUCCAGAUACGCUGCAGUUUCCCUCUUCUGUCCUCUAGUACUUUUAAAGCACAGCUCUGUUCCUGUAGCUUUGGUGCAUAAACACCUUCAAUGAAAGUACAUACGAUGUCUGAACAACCGAAUAAGCAUUGUGAAAUUAGUGGAAAAUAAACUUUCAAAGAUGUUGGACAAAUAAAAUUUGAAAUGGAACCAUCUACCCUCUAUGACAGUUGCAUGGAAUGUCAGAGAAAAUAUUACCUGGAUUGAGAGGUUACAACAUUACUUCUCCAAGUCAGGCGCUGACUGAAGAGAAACAGAAAAUGGGAAUGAUAAGAUCUACUCUGGAAAAACAAUUUAGCACCAGACUGUUUCACGUAGCACAUAUAGCUUACUGCUAUAUACAAAUGUCUAAAUUACGUGGUGAGA
Long non-coding RNA from Bos taurus (domestic cattle), 443 nucleotides. NCBI's taxonomy places the organism in Eukaryota, Metazoa, Chordata, Mammalia, Artiodactyla, Bovidae. The record is from Ensembl.